Molecule: ribosomal RNA, 456 nt
Filed under: Neisseria elongata
Lineage: Bacteria; Pseudomonadati; Pseudomonadota; Betaproteobacteria; Neisseriales; Neisseriaceae
Description: bacterial SSU rRNA
Rfam family: Bacterial small subunit ribosomal RNA
Source: RNAcentral
AUUGAACGCGGGCGGCAUGCUUUACACAUGCAAGUCGGACGGCAGCGGGGUAGUGCUUGCACUACGCCGGCGAGUGGCGAACGGGUGAGUAAUAUAUUGGAACGUACCGAGUAAUGGGGGAUAACCAAUCGAAAGAUUGGCUAAUACCGCAUACGCUCUGAGGAGGAAAGCAGGGGACCUUCGGGCCUUGCGUUAUUCGAGCGGCCAAUAUCUGAUUAGCUAGUUGGUGGGGUAAAGGCCUACCAAGGCGACGAUCAGUAGCGGGUCUGAGAGGAUGAUCCGCCACACUGGGACUGAGACACGGCCCAGACUCCUACGGGAGGCAGCAGUGGGGAAUUUUGGACAAUGGGCGCAAGCCUGAUCCAGCCAUGCCGCGUGUCUGAAGAAGGCCUUCGGGUUGUAAAGGACUUUUGUUAGGGAAGAAAAAGGAGCGGUUAAUACCCGUUUCUGCUGACG